Leptonychotes weddellii (Weddell seal) is the source of this 626-nucleotide non-coding RNA. NCBI's taxonomy places the organism in Eukaryota, Metazoa, Chordata, Mammalia, Carnivora, Phocidae. The record is from RefSeq and is a predicted model, not a curated record.
AGCUUGGGGCUGCAGCAGUGCGGGCCCCCGGAGUAGAAAGCCCCGGGGGUCAAGAAAGGAAGGCCAGGCCGCGGAGUCCCUGAGCAGCCGUUCUUGGAUUUGGGGGAGCCUUGCCCCCCCCACCUCGUCUUCAGACGUCCCCUCUUCAUCCCCCCCAGCCCCGGCCGCUGACGGGAGGAGGCGGCGGCGGCGGCGGCGGGGGGCUGAGGGGCGCCGCCAUGCCUCUCCCGCGGUGAAGCGUCCCUGCCGUGAGGAGCCGCUCGGUCUCCCUGGUGAUGUCCCCCAGGCGGCAGGCGAAAGCGACUCACUCGAGCCCUGGGCAGCGAUGGCAGAGGAACAACAACAGCCGCCACAGCAGCCUGAUGCCCAUCAGCAGCUUCCCCCCAGCGCCCCCAACUCGGGGGUGGCUCUGCCAGCCCUUGUGCCUGGGCUGCCAGGGACAGAGGCCAGCGCGCUGCAACACAAGAUCAAGAACUCCAUCUGGCUGCUUUUCCUGUGACUUUAUACAGGCUUAUGACUUCCUUAAAGCAGCAGCAAACAACCUUGGAGAAAAGUUUUUGCAGUAAAACAAAGAGUUGAUCUUUCAGUGACCUAAAGAGCUCAUUCAUAGUCUAAGAAAAAAAGUC